This is a long non-coding RNA of Raphanus sativus (radish), 2451 nucleotides long. RefSeq lists it as uncharacterized. NCBI's taxonomy places the organism in Eukaryota, Viridiplantae, Streptophyta, Magnoliopsida, Brassicales, Brassicaceae. The record is from RefSeq and is a predicted model, not a curated record. The transcript has 4 exons.
ACCGAUAAAAGAAAACAAAGACCAACGCAUGCAUAUAUAUUAUUAAAAUCUUAUUGAACAGUGGAGGUUAUUGCAUCUGCAAAGCAGUAUUCUUUGUAUCUGUUAUUUUUCUGGUGCUUUUCAUACGUAUAAACACUGUUUCUUUCAUUAACCAAUAGUUUUUUUUUUCUGAUAAGCUAACAGAACAGUUCUUAGGCCUAUGUUGGAAAUCUUCUUGACUGGAGAACCGUCGAGGUUUAGAAAAGUGUGGCUAAUGCACCUCAACUUCUUCAAGAUUGUGACAGCCACUGCACAGAGACACUCGAAGAAGAAGCAAGAGAAAGAAGUAGCUGCUUUUACUCAUUCAGAUUGAUUUUUCUUUCUAAUGCUCCAACAUCAGAAGGACCAAAGCAAAACAAGAAAAAUGCAGCUUCUCUUCUCAUUUUCGCCUCGUUGACGCAUUGUUUUGGUGGGAUUUGUACGUUAUAGAACAAAAAAAGUGAUCUUGGAAAUCGCUUGAAUCGGAAUGGAAUCAUCUUUGAGUACGUGGGGGUGUGGAGAAACCAUCAUUGACAGAUUGAAGAUAAAAGUGUUAAUCUUUGACUUGAACGGCUAAAGAAGUAGCGACAUAAAACAGAUAAGUUCUUCUACCGCUGAUUCUUACUUACUUUUAGUUUUAAGUUUUAUCAAACUCCAAAAAGAUCAUGGGCAGACACUAAUCUAAUAGUGUUCUGCCAGAUUCUUAUUUGGGGACAUUGUCCCGAGUCCAUGUUGCGUGAAGCUUUGUCCCAGAGGUAGAUGUUUGGUUGAUGAUGGAAACUAAAACAUACUUUAGUACCCACGGCUUUACAAAAAUAACCAUCGUCUUAAGAAAAAAAAAGAGUCUUUUAGACAGAAAAUGACUUUGUCUAAGGCUAUGAAAUUGAUGAAUGGAUGGAUGGAUAAAGGACCAAAAGGCUUACAUUUAGACAGAAGCCAUGAGAUUGUUGGAAGGAUUCAUUGUCCCGAGUCCUUGUUGCGUGAAGGUUAGACCCAGAGGAAACUGUUGGUUGGUAGUGCAUUUAUAAGAUACGUUUGGGAUGUAAAGUAAAACAUACUUUAGUACCCACGGCUUUACUAAAACAACCAUCGGCUUAAAAAAAAAAGAGUCUUUUAGACAGAAAAUAGCUAUGUCUAGCUAUGAAAUUGAAGGGUGGAUAAAGGACCAUCUGCUUACAAAAUGUCUUUAGACAAAGGCUAUGAAUUGCUUUUGAACUUGUUGGAUGGAAAUAACGAUCACAAGUCAUGGAAAGUAAUUGGAAAAUCUUGCUACCCACGGUUUUGUUAAAGGGUUUUAGACAGUAUUGGUAUGUACGGUUUGACAGAGAAGUCUUUAGACAAAGACUCUAGAUCUAAACCACAUCCAUUGCUUACCCACAGCUCUAUGAAUAGAGGGUGUUUGAGGAUGCAAAGUGUGAUAAAGUUUAGUACCCACGGCUUGCAAGAAAGUUUUGAGACAAAGACUGUGAAUCAUCAAUUUAGUACCCACGGCUUGAAGAAAGGUACUGAAUAAUUUUUCAUCACAUCUGUACCCACGGCUUAUGAAAAAGUAUCAAGACAAACGCUGGUAAUUGAAAAAGGAUGCAUUAAGACAAAGGCAUGCCAAAAAAGGUCUUUAGACAGACUGUGAAUACGUUUUAUCACAUUUUGGUACCCACGGCUUUGCAAGAACACGUCUUCAUCACAUUUUAGUACCCACGGCUAGCAAGAAAGUCUUGUGACAAAGACUGCAAAUCUCAAGUUUUCAAAGUGCAUCUCAAAAUCUAGUAAUUUAGUUAUGCAGCAAUGUGGUGUUUUGAGUUGGAGAGCUAUUUUGAACAUUAAACACAUAAAAAACAGAAAGUAUAUUAGAAAGUGUCUAAUGAUGUAGAGUAAGUUUAGAAAAGUGUCUUAUCCUAUAGUUUCUCAUUUUAUUUUUAGAUAAAGGGCAUUGUAUUUAUCAGAAUGACACAUUCCUAGAUUCAAAGACCAGAAGCCCUAAUUUCCGCUUCCUAAAUUUCUCACCGAUCUACAAUCACAGUCUUCAACCCAAAUUGUUUCAUGGGAGAGCGAGUAGAAUUGUGCCCUCCAAAUGAGACUGACACUCGUCUUCUUCCUUUUCUCUCAAUAUUUUUGUUAACCUAAAUUGACUCAUAAACUUAACUUUGUAUUUAUAGAUUACGACGUCAAACUUCGAACAUUCAUCCUAAAUGAAAAUAAAGAAAGAUCUGCCAUAUAGUUUUUUUCCUUCUCAAAUAUUUGAAUAUUCUCAAUGAGUCUCUAAUAGAGGUGUCAAAAUGAGUUAUAACUCAUGAGUUCGCUCAAUUCAACUCGAUUUUUCAUGAGUAUGAUCUUUAUUUUUUAAGCUCAUUUAAUAAAUGAGUUAAAUAAUCGAGAUUAAAUUAGAUCACGAAUUAUAUAAACGAUUUUUAAUGAACAUGAUCUGAUUCAUGA